UCUACGGGUGGCUGCAGUCGAGAAUUUUUCUCAAUGGGGGCAACCCUGAAGGAGCGACGCCGCGUGGAGGAUGAAGGCUUUCGGGUUGUAAACUCCUGUCAUUUGAGAACAAGUGUCGGCAAGUAACUACUGCCGACUUGAUAGUAUCAGAAGAGGAAGAGACGGCUAACUCUGUGCCAGCAGCCGCGGUAAUACAGAGGUCUCAAGCGUUGUUCGGAUUCAUUGGGGUAAAGGGUGCGUAGGUGGCGAGGUAAGUCAGGUGUGAAAUUUCGGAGCUUAACUCCGAAACUGCAUUUGAUACUGCCUUGCGUGAGGACUGGAGAGGAGACUGGAAUUCACGGUGUAGCAGUGAAAUGCGUAGAGAUCGUGAGGAAGACCAGUGGCGAAGGCGGGUCUCUGGACAGUUCCUGACACUGAGGCACGAAGGCCAGGGGAGCAAACGGGAUUAGAUACCCUUGUANUC
This 463-nucleotide ribosomal RNA is filed under the name uncultured bacterium. Its description in RNAcentral is "bacterial SSU rRNA". It matches the Rfam family "Bacterial small subunit ribosomal RNA", at positions 338 to 795 of the family's 1533-position model. The record is from RNAcentral.